AAGUCGUAACAAGGUUUCCGUAGGUGAACCUGCGGAAGGAUCAUUAACAACAUAUCCUAACUAAAAAACCCUGUGAACUUUCAACCCCAAAUCGCUUGAUCCGAGUACCUCAGCAAUCUCUGGUAAAUCAUUGUGAACAGCUUUGAGUCAGAGACCUCUGAAUAACCUUGCGCGGUCGCGGUUGGUGAGGCAAGUGACCUGGUACCCUCAAGACCAGUGUUCAAUGAUCUGUCAGUGUUCAUUGACUGGAAUCAAACGUUCUGUCAGUGUGCGUUUGAUUUGCAAGGGUGGCGCAGUAAACGAUCGCUGGAGGCCGACACGGCCGCUUUGCUCCCACUGUUACUACUUACAAGAUUUCCCAAUUAGUGAAAGCUAUUGGGCUAUAACUAAACGACUGUUAACAAUGGAUAUCUCGAUUCUC
RNAcentral lists this unclassified non-coding RNA (421 nucleotides) under fungal sp. RNAcentral's name for it is "partial internal transcribed spacer region". The stretch from base 1 to 46 matches the Rfam family "Eukaryotic small subunit ribosomal RNA", at positions 1786 to 1831 of the family's 1831-position model. Lineage: Eukaryota; Fungi. The record is from RNAcentral.